UAAGGAAUAUUGGUCAAUGGACGAAAGUCUGAACCAGCCAUGCCGCGUGAAGGAUGACGGCCCUCUGGGUUGUAAACUUCUUUUAUCUGGUACGAAAAAAGAUCAUUCCUGAUCACUUGACGGUACCAGAGGAAUAAGCACCGGCUAACUCCGUGCCAGCAGCCGCGGUAAUACGGAGGGUGCAAGCGUUAUCCGGAUUUACUGGGUUUAAAGGGUGCGUAGGCGGACUUUUAAGUCAGUGGUGAAAGCUUGCAGCUUAACUGUAAAAUUGCCAUUGAAACUGAAAGUCUCGAGUGUGGUUGAGGUAACUGGAAUAUAUCAUGUAGCGGUGAAAUGCUUAGAUAUGACAUAGAACACCGAUUGCGAAGGCAGCUCACUACGGAUGUAUUGACACUGAUGCACGAAAGCGUGGGGAUCAAACA
RNAcentral lists this ribosomal RNA (422 nucleotides) under uncultured bacterium. RNAcentral describes it as "bacterial SSU rRNA". It matches the Rfam family "Bacterial small subunit ribosomal RNA", at positions 355 to 774 of the family's 1533-position model. The record is from RNAcentral.